UUACUUUGGCCCAUGUACAAGAAGAGCUAGAUCCUUUGUCAUCUUUCCAGAUUCCACUGUUCCCACACAAGCAGCUUCAAGUUUUUGUACAAAAUCUAACAGUCUUUUAUUGUCAUCGAGCUUUGCCCUGUUGUGGUGUUCCGGUUGUCCAAGCAAAUAUUGAAGCAAUGCUAUUUGUACUAGUUUCGCCUCCUUUUUGGUGAACUCUGUAAUGGCGUGUGACUGUACCAUGAGCAGCUUCAGCUUCAAUGGUUCUACCAUCAGGGCACACCUAAGGCAAUGCAGAACUUAUUUCAAAAACCUUGAGCAAUUAGAUCGCUCUGCACAUCUCCAUCAUAGUUCUUGCAAGCCCAAACAUAGCCACCUUCACUCUUAAGGGCAUAGGCCACCAUAUCAUCAAUCAGCCGAUGUUCUAAUAUUUCAAUAUGGACAUACAUGUCUAUUAAAAGAAACAAAUAGCAUACGACGAUUGACUAUUGACCUUCCAUCGUAUUUUUUGAGGAUCGUGUUUUUGGUGCUAAGAUAAAGUGGCCAUCUUUUCUGGUAAGCCAUGUUCAUGGAAGCUUCAGCGAAUGCCCAAAUAGACUAUUUGCAACAAACAUAAAAUAGAGGUUGUCAAGUUUAAAACCCUAUCUGCAGCCACUAUCAUGACAUUAGCUUUAUUGAGACAUACCAAAUACUAACUUCAACUUCCCAGGACCUUUAAUAACUGUAUCUGUUGCUCGGUAUUGAUCACCAAAUGCAUGUCGUCCAAUGCAUAUGGGCUUUAUCCACCCUGGAAGCAUAAAAAAAAUAGUGUAACUACCAAUGAAUUCUACUAUCGGUUUACCAUUCAAAAUGUUCCUUAUUGUCCCAUUUGGACUCUUCCACAUUGCACUUAAAUUAAACUCUUUCACGCGUCCUUCAUCUGUAGGCUCAUGAAUAGCUUACAGGCUUACUUUAGGGUCGCUUCUGCACUCUCUAUUGUAACUUUGUCCCCAGUAGCGUCACGAUUAGGUAGACCUAAGUCAUAGUAUUUUAUGUCCAAGUCCAAGAAAGGGAAUAUAAGCU
This 1050-nucleotide small RNA is filed under the name Oryza sativa Japonica Group (Japanese rice). RNAcentral describes it as "sRNA Os01g0248450". The record is from RNAcentral. Lineage: Eukaryota; Viridiplantae; Streptophyta; Magnoliopsida; Poales; Poaceae.